RNAcentral lists this non-coding RNA (201 nucleotides) under Flavobacterium collinsii. The record is from RNAcentral. Lineage: Bacteria; Pseudomonadati; Bacteroidota; Flavobacteriia; Flavobacteriales; Flavobacteriaceae.
UCUUUACGCCCAGAUUCAGGUCUGUUUUUUCUUUAGAGAAAACAGUUAAAAGGGAAUCAGGUGUAAAUCCUGAACAGACCCGCUACUGUAAGUUCUGUAAAAGUCUUUAACGUUACUCAUGCCAUUGUCCGCCGUAGCGGAUGAGAAGGCUGUUUAAAGAUGGAACAAGUCAGGAGACCUGCCGGAAUCACAUAGUUUAAG